Long non-coding RNA from Astatotilapia calliptera (eastern happy), 1623 nucleotides. NCBI's taxonomy places the organism in Eukaryota, Metazoa, Chordata, Actinopteri, Cichliformes, Cichlidae. The record is from Ensembl.
GGCAGUUCUUAUAUGCAGAAGUGAAACCAGACUGGAGAUCUUUAUAACCGCACUUACAGUCACGCAGUGCCAUUAGUGCAUGCAAGUGACCGAAGAAGCAAAAGAGGCAGAGGAAAAAGAAGGCCAGUUACUAGGCGGGCAUGUUGGCUGAAGGUUUUCUCAGACUGCUGGUGUACAGGGAGGAGAGAAAGUUUGCCUCCAAUUCCAAGCAAAGGAGAUUGCAGACAAGUGGUCAUUGUGCUGAUCCAUCCAACUGUGCUCGCUCUGACUCGAGCUCUGCAGUCCCAGGGGUGCAUUCAGCAGAAGCAGGGAUCAUAGAGGAAGAUCUAAACUCCAGCCAACCCCAGAUUCUCAAAGUGGUGCCUCAGAGACGUGUAGCCCUCUCAAUCCCUACUGACCUGUACCCCCUUUACAUAGAAGACUGUAGCUUGCUGGAACAGUAUCCAGACCUGCAGGUGGCUGACUCAGGCCGCAUCACACACAAUCUACUGAGAACUGCUGUCAGCCAGCAUGAUUUCUGCAUCCAGUCUCCCAUCUCUCAAGUUUGUCCAAGCACAGCCCAGCAAGAGCCACAGAAUUCAGUACCAUCCAUACCAGACCAGGGUUAUCUAGCAAUGGGGGACAGUGUGAACAUCAGCCUGGAUCUGCCUGGAUCGGGGCUAGAGCCCAUGUCUAACUCGGUGCUGAACGGGCUGCUGGAGAAACAGCUGGAGGAGGUGUACAUGCAGCAUCUAACUGAGAACUUAGCUCGGUGCAACUCCCACCUGGGGAACAGCCUCCUGCACGGCCUGGUGCCCCCGCCGCAGCCUAGCAGCCAGUCAGAGGGGCCAGACUCAUUACUGGGAUGCAUGGAAGAAAGCACAGAAGACAGCAGCAGUAAAAUUAGUUAUCUGAACACCCAUAACUUAGUGCCCUGCUCCUCCAACUUCAGCUCCCCAGUGUUGAGGAUUUCAGAGGCGGAAAAUCCUCAUCCGCAAUGAUCCUGCAAAAGCUUUAAAUAUUGUGACCUAGACGACUUUGCUUCAGUGCUUCACACCCAAGUUUACACACACACAAUUGUAUCCACUAUAUCAGUGCUAUUUUUAUACAAAGCCUUGCUCUCUUGCUUAAGAUGCCUGAAACUUAGUUGCUUUCAUAUGCCAUCUUCUGUUAGAUUUGAGUAUUACACCACCGGGGAGCUACUUGUUAUACAUUCAAAUGUAUUUUACUGACUUAUAGUUGGGAAUGUGUUAAGUGUUUGAUUUAUAAUAAAGCAAGAUAUAACAAAGUAUCAGCUUGUGGUUGUUUACAACUGCGUUUUAUUAAUCUGUUGCUUUUUACCAACACCUGUAAAGCCAUCUUGUACCCAUCUACUUACUUAGACAGCAGAAGGCUGGAUAUUGACAUUUAUGUGCGCUGUCAGUUUUGGCCGGCGGUCAUAGGUUCUGUCCAAUAAUAUGACGCGAGACUGGAGUAAAAGACAUCCAUGGAUUGGUACUUUAUUAAAGAAGGAGCAUGAUAACAGCACAAACACUAACUACAACUAAACAAAAUGGCUUCCUUUUAUACUCUACCUUUUCAGGUGAGCAUCUGGAAUAGCCCAAGUAUGGGGGUUAACUAAUCAAAAUGGACACAUAACCCUCC